GAUGAACGCUAGCGGCAGGCUUAAUACAUGCAAGUCGUGGGGCAGCGCAGUGUAGCAAUACAUGGGCGGCGACCGGCAAACGGGUGCGGAACACGUACGCAACCUUCCUUCAAGUGGGGGAUAGCCCAGGGAAACUUGGAUUAAUACCCCGUAAUAUUACGAAGCGGCAUCACUUUGUAAUUAUAGCAGCAAUGCGCUUGAAGAUGGGCGUGCGCCUGAUUAGGUAGUUGGCGGGGUAACGGCCCACCAAGCCUGCGAUCAGUAACUGGUGUGAGAGCACGACCAGUCACACGGGCACUGAGACACGGGCCCG
RNAcentral lists this ribosomal RNA (313 nucleotides) under uncultured bacterium. RNAcentral's name for it is "bacterial SSU rRNA". It matches the Rfam family "Bacterial small subunit ribosomal RNA", at positions 28 to 334 of the family's 1533-position model. The record is from RNAcentral.